CUAUUGUACAGAUGGAACAAGAGUGGGAAAUAGUCCCAGGCAGGGAAUGGCAUCUCCAUUUCAUGAUGAACUUCCUGUCACAUUUUAUUUCCCAGGUAUUAAAUUCCCUAAGGAUGUUCCAGAGAAGUUUCCAUUAUUCUUUCAGCAGUUAGAGAACUGCUUCCAGCUGAGCACCAGCUUAUCCCACCAGCAGGAAAAAGUUGUGAACUCUUCACGGGCAAAGAUGGGAUCUGAUUGUCAUUCAAAACGCAGUGCCUAAUUCAAUGCCUGGCACAUUGUCCGGUGAAUGAACUUAUUAACCCACAACAAAAUGUAACUGCAGGAGAGACCAGAAUAUUCUUGGCCAUUGGCGUGGAUUUGGAAAUGAGAAAUGUGGAAAAGCAGCCCUGUGCAGGGACACACAUCUGGCAAGCAUGGCGGUGACGGCCUUCAGCUCAUCAGGGUGGAGAUCCUGGCACCCAGUCCCCUGUGUCUUCUGGGCAUAGUGAGCUUGGCUGUGGUGUCCUUGGUCCCGAAAGUGUUUUUGGGUAUCUGCCCUAAUUGCUCGACUUUUCUGGCUCACCUGGGAUUUCUCUGAGUAGCCAAGUAUCAUUUAAUAAAGUUAUUUUCUGCCUACGCUAGACAGGAUAACUUGUUUUUGCAACUAACAUUCUUAUUCAACAUUCACAGCGUUGCUCUAAUUUCAACAGCCAUUUCCAGAGAAAUGUUGCCUUGUAAUUGUUCUGAUGAAGGCUUCUGUACAGAAUAGUUAGAUACUUUAAGUAAUAUGGAAGUUAUUCCUUUAAUGAUCUUGCUCAAUUUCCCUAAUUUCUGUUGCUUCUCUCAUUUACUAACCCCUCCCACCUUUUUAAAAACCAUUUAAC
This 863-nucleotide long non-coding RNA is filed under the name Homo sapiens (human). RNAcentral's name for it is "HSALNT0113122". Lineage: Eukaryota; Metazoa; Chordata; Mammalia; Primates; Hominidae. The record is from RNAcentral.